Molecule: long non-coding RNA, 637 nt
Organism: Uranotaenia lowii
Lineage: Eukaryota; Metazoa; Arthropoda; Insecta; Diptera; Culicidae
Exons: 3
Source: RefSeq, a predicted model, not a curated record
UUCCUUUGAAACAAAGUAUUUUUUUGUUUCCAUGCAGUCUUAGAUGUUAUUCUUAUUCCUUUUCUUAUGUUUUCAAAAUUGUUUUACAAAAAUGUUGUUUUGUGACGAAGGUGAAGUGAAUGUUCAGCUGCCGCUCCCACGGUCAACAUAUUAUUCAGAUUCUUUUUGGAAAACGGUGGCCUGUCCUCCACGACGGCUGCGGAACACGAACCAAACAGGAAAAAACAACCCGUCAGAACCGAACCACCUGUGAACCGGCACAGGGCACCGGAAGGCUUAGAUGGGACGAUCCGGCGUUGGAAACUUCCACAGCUUUGAGGGAAGAAUCGAUAGUGGAUGCCUAGGGCAGCCAAUUGGAAUGUACUAACUGUUCCGGUGUUCCGGCUAAACGGUUGCAAUCUUCCGAUCCAGUCAAAGGAGACUCAAAGUUUGGCGUCGAAACCAUUCAUCAGUUGUUCCAAUGGAACUGUCCGUCAACGAACUUCUUUUGAUAUUUUAACAAUAUGGCUGAAAGAUCUUAAAGUGUUGUCCUGAGAGGCGAAAUUUGGACAAUGAAGCCUAAUUUUCAAACAGUGAUAUUAGGUAAUUGAAAUGUAAAACAUAUAAACAUUCAUAAUUUAAUAAAAUGGAUAAAUUA